CCGGCGAUUUCCGAAUGGGGAAACCCAGUGUGUUUCGACACACUAUCAUUAACUGAAUCCAUAGGUUAAUGAGGCGAACCGGGGGAACUGAAACAUCUAAGUACCCCGAGGAAAAGAAAUCAACCGAGAUUCCCCCAGUAGCGGCGAGCGAACGGGGAGGAGCCCAGAGCCUGAAUCAGUGUGUGUGUUAGUGGAAGCGUCUGGAAAGGCGCGCGAUACAGGGUGACAGCCCCGUACACAAAAAUGCACAUAUUGUGAGCUCGAUGAGUAGGGCGGGACACGUGGUAUCCUGUCUGAAUAUGGGGGGACCAUCCUCCAAGGCUAAAUACUCCUGACUGACCGAUAGUGAACCAGUACCGUGAGGGAAAGGCGAAAAGAACCCCGGCGAGGGGAGUGAAAAAGAACCUGAAA
Molecule: ribosomal RNA, 411 nt
Filed under: Escherichia coli
Lineage: Bacteria; Pseudomonadati; Pseudomonadota; Gammaproteobacteria; Enterobacterales; Enterobacteriaceae
Description: partial 23S ribosomal RNA
Rfam family: Bacterial large subunit ribosomal RNA
Source: RNAcentral